UGGCGACCGGCGCACGGGUGAGUAACACGUAUCCAACCUGCCGAUAACUCGGGGAUAGCCUUUCGAAAGAAAGAUUGAUAUCCGAUAGGAUAUCAAGGUCGCAUGAUCUUGAUAUUAAAGAAUUUCGGUUAUCGAUGGGGAUGCGUUCCAUUAGUUAGUUGGCGGGGUAACGGCCCACCAAGACGACGAUGGAUAGGGGUUCUGAGAGGAAGGUCCCCCACAUUGGAACUGAGACACGGUCCAAACUCCUACGGAAGGCAGCAG
This 264-nucleotide ribosomal RNA is filed under the name uncultured bacterium. Its description in RNAcentral is "partial 16S ribosomal RNA". It matches the Rfam family "Bacterial small subunit ribosomal RNA", at positions 89 to 354 of the family's 1533-position model. The record is from RNAcentral.